Molecule: long non-coding RNA, 426 nt
Filed under: Vigna radiata
Lineage: Eukaryota; Viridiplantae; Streptophyta; Magnoliopsida; Fabales; Fabaceae
Description: long non-coding RNA (VRAD_LNC011653)
Source: RNAcentral
CUUCUCAAUAUACUUUCUUUUCUUCAUGAGAAGUUCUUUCAAAAAUUUCGCAUAUGAAGGCAUUUGCUGAAAUGCUUCAAAAAAUGGUAUGGUGAUUUCCAACUUCUUAAAGAUCUCCAUAAAACGCUCAAACUGUUUUUCUUUCUCUUAAGGUUUUUUCAUACUCUUUAUCUCUUAAUUUUUCAACCCCUUUUUCCUGAGUUUCUCCCUCAUCUCUCAAUUUUUUUAUCACAAUUUCUUCUUUCUCACUUUCCUCCCUCUAAUCACUCUUUUUUUCAUCACUCUCUUUUUCUUUCUCUCCUUUCUCAAUUUUUCUCUCCUCUAAUAAUCUUCCACUCCUAUUAACAAUCUCACAUGUUUCUCUUACAUUACUCCUUUCAUUCAUUUUGCAACCACACUCCUCCAGACGAUUAACAUAGAAUAUAC